UAUUUUAACAAUAAAUACAAUAAUAUAUAUUAUAAUAAAAUUCAUAUUAAGUAAUGUAAUGUAAUUUCACCUACUUAUUUAUAAUUUUACAUCAUAGGCGGAGGAUAUCACUAUACUGUAGGGGGACCCGAUCACACAUUCGAUAGGACGUCGCAACCGCAUAUGUUGUCUCCGUCUUAUACAUGUACGACAUAGCAAAUUUGAAACUCAGCAGACCUCGUUUACCUCCGUUGGUUUAAAAAUUAGAGUAAAUUGACCUCUUAUACAAUUUAAAGGUAAGAUUAUUAUCUACGGCAUCUCAUAGAAUUUUUAUUAUAUUUUAUUUUAAGGCAAGUUAUGAGUACCUAUUUAAAAAUAGUAAAUUGUUUGUACAUCUUAAAAUACGUAUAACUCGAUUUAAAAUAAAAAUAAAACAAAAAACUUCUGAGAUGCCCUGGAUAAUAAUCGUACCUUAGAUUUUAUAAGAGCUGGUCAAUUCACUCUAAUUUUUAAAUUAUUAACCUGAUCUGCUGGUCGCUGAAGCGUCAAAUUUGGUAUGUCGUACGUGUGGAAGACAAUGACAACAUAAUAUGCGGACGACCUCUUAACCGCGGUUUUGUAUAAUUUACAAGUACCUAUUUACGACCCCUAAAUUUUCGGCCUGCACGGGGAUACCUAUAAUAUUCAAUACCCUUUAUAUUUUGAAGCUAUUUUACACAGUGAUAUAAUAUUAUAAUAAUUAUAAAUUAUUUAUGUUUCUAGGUUUCUCUCUGCUGCAUUUAUAAAUCCAACACAAACUUAUAUUGAUCCAUCACAUCAUCCAGUCCGGCACGAGCUGAGAAUAAAAUACACGUAUGACGCAUUCGCGGUGUAUUGAAAUACAACGAAACGAAAAUCAUAGAAGACGAAGUGAAGAAGUUUCUAUUUUUUGAAUCCAUGCGCCGAGAUAUAAUGGGAACUGGGAAGAACUCGUCGGUUUCGACCAAAACUCAAAAGCGCAU
This is an RNA transcript of Metopolophium dirhodum (rose-grain aphid), 980 nucleotides long. RefSeq lists it as uncharacterized. Lineage: Eukaryota; Metazoa; Arthropoda; Insecta; Hemiptera; Aphididae. The transcript is spliced from 2 exons. The record is from RefSeq and is a predicted model, not a curated record.